UACAUGAUACAGAAAUUGUACGUACAAUGGCAACAGGUAUCGCUGGUUUAUCAGUAGCAGCUGACUCAUUAUCUGCAAUUAAAUAUGCACAAGUUAAACCAAUUCGUAACGAAGAAGGUCUUGUAGUAGACUUUGAAAUCGAAGGCGACUUCCCUAAAUACGGUAACAAUGACGACCGUGUAGAUGAUAUCGCAGUUGAUUUAGUAGAACGCUUCAUGACUAAAUUACGUAGUCAUAAAACAUAUCGUGAUUCAGAACAUACAAUGAGUGUAUUAACAAUUACUUCAAACGUUGUAUACGGUAAGAAAACUGGUAAC
Molecule: small RNA, 317 nt
Filed under: Staphylococcus aureus
Lineage: Bacteria; Bacillati; Bacillota; Bacilli; Caryophanales; Staphylococcaceae
Description: Transcript
Source: RNAcentral